CUCAGCCAGUGCCCUGAGAUAAAGAGCUCCCAGGAAAACUGGAAUUUAAAUGAUACAAAAAAGUGACCUGGAUGACAUCAACCAUGGAGCUCCUGGCAUGGCCUCCAAGGAGGGAGGUUAUGGAUCAGAUACAGAGGCUCAAACAUGGCUCUUUUUUCUCUGGCAUCAUUGCUCUUCUUGUUUAAGCAGCUCAGGGUGGCUCUGAUCCUGUGCUAAUGGAAAAAUUGUGGUUAAUGUAGAACCCUGUGUGCCAUGGGGUGAACCUGAGGUUCUGAACAUCCAGGAACACUUUGAGGAGCUGGAAGGUAAAGGGCAGAAAACCAGCACACUUCAGGGCAGGCAUGCUUGCCAAGGUGGGUGCAGACUGAAGAGUUGCAUUCACCUCCAGGUGAGCCUCCAGGUUCUAAAUCUCUAAGGUGUCUUGGGGGCAAGAGCUCGAGCACUGUACUGAGUGCUCCUGACAGUCUUUGCUUUGAAGAUUUCCCCUGUGAACCCAGCCAGGGGAGAAGGUCUACAGUGGGGAAUGUGUGCUCUGACAAUGGGGAGAUGGAGACAGGGAGAGCUGGGCUUGGGGUUGCCACAGAAAGCUCUUGGGAGUGAGCCCAGGGAGGCAGCAGAGCCCUGGGUCUGCAUGCCCAGGCAGUAUUUGUGGUGGGGGGAGUGAACAACCACAGGAUGGGGCAGGGGUUUGUGGAGGGGAAGAGUUGGAGCAUGGUGAGAGGGAGCCUCUUAUCUCUUUCCUCGUGGCCCUGGCUGUUUCCUUCCAUUUCUGCAUCAGGACCUUCCCCUGCCCACCAGCCCUCAGCACCCUUGCAGACCCCACUCUGUGGAGAAAGGAACUCUGGUUGAAGCACAUGCAGGAGAAUGAAUGUCAAAAAUGUUGAAACUCUGCCCAGCUGGCAUGAUGUAAUCCCAGCAAGUGCUCUGAUCUGCAGGCUACAAUAAAUAUAUCCUGGGAUGGGCCGUUUACAGUUUCCUGGAAUUGGAAAGACCUAUCUCAAGACUCAAAAUUAUUCCAGUUUUUCCCAGUGAUAACACAGCAAAUUUUUUUUUAAUUAGACCAAACAAGACAGUGUGCUUGUUUUGGUGGGAAUGAAGGAAAUUGCAAAAACUUCACUUGUGGUCUUGGACUUUCCAUGCUCCUUGAAGGAGGACACAGACAUGUCACAAACAAUUUGCUGAGGGAAGUUCUGUGAGCUGCAGGCACUUGGCAGCUCUGACAGUUUUGCUGACAAGGGUGCAGACCUGCAGCAGCCUGAGCUCCUUGAAAAGGCCAAAGAGACCUGGACCCUCUCACAUGGGUCUUCACCCAGGGCACAGCAGAGCAGCUGUGGGACAGUCACAGGGCUGUGCUGACCCGGGCUGCCCUGGGGUCCUGCCCUCCUGGCCACUAACCCCCCAGGUCAAAUGGAAUCCAUGCACUUGAGACUGCUGGAAUCCUGCCAGUGAAGCUGGGGCUGAGAUCAGUAGCGAAAAAAAAAUGUGAGUUGUGUCUUCAAGUUCUUUAAUUUGCCCUUAGAGGGUCCAUCUGAGAGUGUGAAUGGACCUCCUGCCAAGUAGCCACCUGCAGAGCAGCAGUCAAGCCAAAGGGACAAGCAGCACGUGGCAGCAAGGCUGGCUGUGCCUCUCAUCUGGCCCUGGCCAGGAAAGUUUGCUCCAAACUUUCCUGGAAGGGAAGGCCAGGCCAGUGCCUGUGGCAGUGUGCUGCUGUGCCUCCAGCCCUUCUCAGGGGUAGGCAGGGGCUGCUGGGGGCCAACCCCACGUCCUGCCUGCCCCUGCCUGCCCCCAGCCCCUCCUGCUGCCCUCCAGCAGCUGGAACAGACCAGCAGGCAGGAGACAGGGACACCCUGGGGAUGGACACCAGCCCUCCAGGAGAAGCCAGCUGGAAGUGGAGGCUGCAGUGCAGUGACCUACAGAAACCUGGCAACGGACAGUAUCUGCUGGUGUUUCUUGUAAUGUCCAGAUGAAAGAUGUCAUUGUUUAAGAACUUAGCCCUGCCUCUUCUGAGGCUAUGUGAAGACUGAUUGGAUUUCUCACAUCUGCCUCUGUCUCUUCAACACAAGAGAAAGAAAACAAAAUGAACUUGAGGCUACUCCAAACAUUAACCCCUGUGACAUCUGACACCUGUGUGCCAGGAGAGAUGGGGGCAGGGGUCACCCUCUCAUCUCCUGGCCCUUGUCCCAUGCUGGUCCUCUGCCACAAAGCAGUCACUGGCUCUGGUCUCCAAGACCUUGUGGUCUGGACAAGGCUACCAGAAGGGAGAGAAGGGAUGUGGGAUGGAGGCCAAGCAAAGUGUGAUGGAUGAUGGUUGCACUUUCCAGUGUGGGGCUGUUUUGAAAGAGAUCAGCUAAACUCACAGUCCUGGAUUAGGGAAGAGAGGAGAGGACAUGACCAUCAGCAGCAAGAACAGAUUCAGAUGUUAUGGGUGAAGAAAGUAAUGAAAAGUGAAGAAAAACCUAAUCACUGAAGAUUGGAUGAAAUGCAGGCAACUGCUGAAGCCUUGCCUGGGAAGCCACGUCCUUCUGCCACUGACAAACAGCAAAAGCAGAGACACCAAGGAAGCCCCUGUCACCCCUGGAGCCAAAGAACAGGUGAGAGGGAAGCAGCACUGGCACAGGGGGCUGUGCUGGCACCACCAGGGACCUCAUCAGGAACAGGGACAAGUGAGCUGCCACCGUUGGGCUCUGCUGAUUCUGGGUCAGAACUUCAGAGCCAAAGCACCAGCCUAGGAAGAGAGCUCCUCCAGACAGGAUCCAGAAAGCAGUGACAGAGCUGGGAACUUCACAUCUGAUUUGCAAGAAAUGGGAUGGUUUGGGAUGGAAUGAGAUGGAAACCGCAACCCCCCUCUAACCAGUUUAGGGCAAAAAUGGGAAUUAUUCUGCUCCUUCAAUAAAUCAAUGAGUCAGAUACAUUUCCACAAAUGGCCAUCUGGCCACACUUAGCAGAGGAGCUCUGUGCUGGGCUGUGGUCUGUGGAAAUCAGGACUCUAGUAGAUGCACAGCAAAGAGAAAAGUCUCAUUAAUGUCUGCAUGAUGAGGGAGUCAUUUAAAGUUAUCUGAAAAAGAAAAUCUGAGAGGGAACAGGAGAAAUUUAUUGGAGAUGCAAAAGAAGAUGGGAAAUGCAUAAAGGGGAGUUUGGUCUUUAAGACAGACCCUAUUCAUGGACAGCCAGUCACAGUGAGCUGUUCAGGGGGCAUUAACAUCAUCCUUAAUGAUGAUGUUAAUGCCCCCUGAACAGCUCACUGAGAAGAUGAGCUAAUACAACUAUUUAAUUCCCUAACUGAUGGUAAGGGUAUAAAAAGCCAUUUCUAGAAGUGGAUUAAAUGAAGCAGACUAAACAGAAUGAUUUUUUAGACAUA
Molecule: long non-coding RNA, 3358 nt
Organism: Serinus canaria (Common canary)
Lineage: Eukaryota; Metazoa; Chordata; Aves; Passeriformes; Fringillidae
Exons: 4
Source: RefSeq, a predicted model, not a curated record